RNAcentral lists this ribosomal RNA (253 nucleotides) under uncultured bacterium. RNAcentral's name for it is "partial 16S ribosomal RNA". It matches the Rfam family "Bacterial small subunit ribosomal RNA", at positions 524 to 776 of the family's 1533-position model. The record is from RNAcentral.
UACGAAGGGGGCUAGCGUUGUUCGGAUUUACUGGGCGUAAAGCGCACGUAGGCGGAUUGUUAAGUCGGGGGUGAAAUCCUGGAGCUCAACUUCAGAAUUGCCUUCGAUACUGGCUUUCUAGAGGCUGGAAGAGGUUAGUGGAAUUCCCAGUGUAGAGGUGAAAUUCGUAGAUAUUGGGAAGAACACCAGCGGCGAAGGCGGCUCACUGGUCCGGUACUGACGCUGAGGUGCGAAAGCGUGGGGAGCAAACAGG